RNAcentral lists this long non-coding RNA (5527 nucleotides) under Hordeum vulgare. RNAcentral describes it as "long non-coding RNA (HVUL_LNC001245)". The record is from RNAcentral. Lineage: Eukaryota; Viridiplantae; Streptophyta; Magnoliopsida; Poales; Poaceae.
AAUCCACGAAACAUCUCUGAUUAUCAUCUCAAGACACAAUCGCCUAACUAAAUCCAACUAACUAAAUCCAAACAUGUUCAAUAUCACAAUCACCUAAUUAAAUCCAUAUUAUUCAAGAUUAAUUAAUCCACCAAACAUCUUUGACUAUCUACUCAAGAUCACAAUCACCUAUAUAUAUUGAAAACUCUCGUAAUCCAUCAUCAAAUUUGUUCAAGAUAACAAUCGCCUAACUAAAUCCAAAUUGUCCCAUGUUUACUAAAGAAGUCACUACUUUCUUGAGAUUGAUGUUUCUUCUACCUCUAAUGGCUUCUUUAUUUCCCAAGAGAAGUAUAUUCAGGAUCAACAUUAUUGGGACUGCUAUGGAGCUCAACAUCCACCUUUGUGUCCACCUCCGCUCCCUGGAAAUCCAUAUGGGCGUCCAUUGCCUGGCGGCAGGUUGUUAUGUGUGCUGUCUUGAUCCCACAUCCCGUGUUCCCUUGCUGAACGACACCAUAACCGCACACUCAAGCUACCACCAAUGGCGAGCAAGAGCUUGGACAAUUGGCGCAUACCUGGAUUUUAAACACGGGACGCGCCCGAGAACACGACGCUACCUAUCGUCAAGGCCAAGGGCGCACAGUAGGAGAACGUGGGAUGCUUAAUCAAGUGCGUGAUACAAAGCCGCAAACAGUACAAGGACAUCAAGCCAGAUCAAAGGGGAACAGAGAGUGCACAGGCACGAGGGAUGCUGGACAAAGUCCAUCUGCUGCCACUAUCCCCUGUCUCUCUACCUCUCUUGCCUUGUUUACCAAUUGUUUUCGGUAGUGGCAUCAUCGCCUUGACUCGCUCGUGUGGCCCUCAUCUCUAUCCACCAAUAUGAUAAUCAGCAUGCUCAUCUACUAAACCUCGAUUCACAUAAUCCACCGGCCAUCUUUUACUAGCUCCUGAAAAUCAUAAUCACCUAACUAAAUCCAACCAGAUCACAAUCACCGAACUAAAUUAAAAUUGUUCCAAACUAAAUAAAAUAUCUUUUUAUCCAACAAUAUAAUAAUCAUCAUGCUCAUUUAUUAAACCUAAAAUCUCAUAAUCCACCAAACAUAUUCGAUUAUCUUCAUAGGACACAAUCACCUAACUAAAGGCAACUAAAAUCUCAUAAAUCAAAGAGAUUUUUGGUUAAAGAUAACAGUCACCUAAUUAAAUUCAAUUUUUUUCAAACUAAAUUAAAUAUCUAUUUAUGCACCAAUGUAAUAAUCACCAUUCUCAUCUACUAAACCUAAAAUCUCAUAAUCCAACAACCAUCAUUGGCUAUAUUCUCAAGACAGAAUCACCUAACUAAAUACACCUAAUCUCAUGAUCACUCGUCAAAUUAAAUAUCUGAUUAUCUACCAAUAUAAUAAUCACCAUGCUCAUUUCCAUACCUAAAAUCUCAUAAUCCACCAACAUUUUGACUUUCUCAAGACACAAUCACCUAACUAACUUCACCUAAAAUCAAAUAAAUCACCAAAAAUUUUGGUUGAAUAUCACAAUCACCGAACUAAAUCCAAAUUGUUCAAGAUUAAUUAAUCCANNAAACAUCUUUGACUAUUCCCUCAAGAUCUCAAUCAACUAAUUAGAUACGUUUAAAAUCUCCUAUUUCACCAUGAAAUUUGGUUAAAGAUCACAAUCGCCUAACUAAAUCCAAAUUAGGCCAAGUUUACUAAUAAUCCAUCUAUCCAUCAAUAUAAUAACCACCAAGCUCACCUACUAGACAUAAAUUCUCACAUAAUCCACCGAACAUCUUUGACUAUCUCACCAAGAUCAUAGUCAACUAAAUAAAUCCAACCCAAACAUCAAAAUACACUGUGAAUUUGGUUAAAAGUUCACGAUCACCUAACUAAAUUCGAAUUGUUUCAAACUAAAUGCAAGGUCAGUUUAUCCACCAAUAUAAUAAUCACCACGCUCAUGUACUAGGCUUAAGAUCUCAAAAUCCACCAAACAUCUUUGACCAUCUUCUCAAGAUCAUAAUAACUUAUCUAAAUCCACAUAAAUCAUCAUGAAACUCGAUUCAAUAUCGCAAUAGCCUAACUAAAUUCAAAUUGUUCAAGAUUAAUUAAUCCAUCGAAUAUCUUUGAGCAUCUUCUCAAGAUGAAAAUCAACUGACUAAAUUCAUCUAGAAUCUCAUAAUCCAUCAUGAAAUUCGGUUCAAGAUCACAAUCGCCUGACUAAAUCCAAUUUUUCUUAAGUUUAUUAAAAAAAAUACUUACCAAUAUAAUAACCACCAAGCUCACCUACUAGACCUAAAUUCACAUAAUCCACCAAACAUCUUAUACCAACUCGUCAAGAUCACAAUCACCUAACUAAAUCCAACCAAAAACUUAUAAUCCAUCGUGAAAUUUCAUUUAAGAUUGCAAUCACCUAACUAAAUCCAAAAUCUUUCAAAUACAAUUAAAGAUAUACUUAACAACCAACAUAAUAAUCACCAUGCUCAUCUAUCAUACCUAAAAUCUCAUAAUCCACCGAACAUUUUAGACUAUCUUCUCAAGAUUAAAUCACGUAACUAAAUCCACCUAAAAUCUCAUAAUUCAUCAUGAAAUACAGUUCAUAUCACAAUCAUCUAACUAAAUCCAAAUUGUCCAAGAAUUAAUCCACUAAACAUUUUCUACUAUCUCCUCAAGAUCACAAUGAACUAAAUAAAUGCAUCAAAAUCUCGUAAUCCACCAUGAAAUUUGGUCCAAGAUCACAAUAUUCUAACUAAAUCCAAGUUGCUUCAAGUUUAUUAAAGAUCCAUUUAUCCACCAAUAUAGUAACCACCAUGCUCAUUUAGUAGACAUAAAUUUUCAUAAUCCACCAAACAUCUUUGACUAUCUCGUCAAGAUCACAAUCACCUAACUAAAUCUCCACUUCAUCUCCAUUUAUUAAAACCAGAAUCAUCCCAUGGGCAUUAGUGACACCCUUGAGUUUUUAUAAAACAUCUAUGAGUAACAAAGAUUCUUCCCGAGUACUAUGAUUUACACGACUAGCAUGGCUAAGCAUUACUAUUAAACUUGGACAUAUGAACCACAUUUAUUUGCGACCACUACAUGGUUAGGAAGGAGGGGUAUUAAGAAUGUCAAAGGAGGGUGUCAAUAUCUUUUACAAGCUCGUAAAGACCCCAAUCACCCAACUAAAUCCAAGCAAAACCUCAUAAUCCAUCAUAAAAUUAGGUCAAAAUAUGACAAUCACCUAACUAAAUCCAUUUUUUCCAAAUUAAAUUAAAUAUUUGUUUAUCCAACAAUAUAAUAAUCCUUAUGCUUAUCUUGUAGAAAAAAAAUCUCAUAAUCCACCAAACUUCCUCGACUAUCUUCUGAAGACGGAAUCACCUAACUAAAUCCAACUAAAAUCUCAUAAAUCACCGAGAAAUUUGGCUCAAUGUCGCGAUCACCUAACUAAAUCCAAAUUGUUCAAAAUUAGUUAAUCCACCGAACAACUUUGACAUCUCCCAAAGAUCACAAUCUACUAACUAAAUCCAUUGAAAAUCUCGUAAUCCACCGUGAAAUUUGUUCAAGAUCACAAUUGCCUAACUACAUGCAGAUCGGUCCAUGUUUACUAAAGAUCCAUUUAUCCACCAAUAUAAUAACCACCGUGGCCCCUUACUAGACCUAAAUUAGCAUAUAUCAUCAAUCAUCUCUGACUAUCUCUUUAAGAUUACAGAUAUCUAACUAAAUCCAACAAAACCUCAAAAUCCCAUCAUGAAUUUGGCUGGAAAAAAACAAUCACCUAACUAAAUCAAAAUUGUUCCAAACUAAAUUGACGACCUGUUUAUCCACCAAUAUAAAAUCACCAUUCACAUCUUCUAUACCUAAAAUCUCGUAGUCAAGCAAACAUCUUUGACUAUAUUCUCAAGACACAAUCACCUAACUAAAUCCUCGUAAAAUCGCAUAAUCCAGCGUGAAGUUCGGUUUAGUAUCACGUCCACCUAAGUAAAUUCAUAUUGUCCAAGAUUAAUUAAUCCACCAAACAUCUUUAGAGUAUCUCCUUAAAAUCGCAAUCAACUAACUAAUCCAUCAAAAAUCUCAUAAUCCAUAAUAAAAUUUGGUUCAAGGCCAGAAUCGCCUAAUUAAAUCCAAAUAGUUUCAAAUUUAUUAAAGACUCAUUUAUUUACCAAUAUAAUAAUCAACAUGCUCAACUAUUAGACUAAAUUCACAUAAUCCAACGAAUAUAUUUUACUAACUCGUCGAAAUCAAAAACACCUAACUAAAACCAACCAAAACGCCCACCAUAAAAUUAGGUUAAAAGAUCACAAUCACCUGACUAAAUCCAAAUUGUUUCAAACUAAAUUAAAUAUAUGUUUAUCCACCAAUAUAAUAAUCAUCAUGCUCAUCUACUAGACCUAAAAUCUCAUAAUCCACCAAACAUCUCUGAUUAUCAUCUCAAGACACAAUCACCUAACUAAAUCCAACUAAAAUCUCAUAAAUCACAAAAAAAUAGUUCAAUAUCACAAUCACCUAACCAAAUCCAUAUUGUUCAAGAUCAAUUAAUCCACCAAACAUUUUUGACUAUCUCCUCAAGAUCACAAUCACCUAAAUCCAUUGAAAAAUCUCCUAGUCCAUGCAAUUUGUUUAAGAUCACAAUCGCCGAACUAAAUCCAAAUUGUUCCAUGUUUACUAAAGAAGGCGCUACUUUCUUGGAGAUUGAAGUUUCUUCUCUCUAAUGGCUUCUUUAUUUCCUAAGAAAAGCAUAUCUAGGAUCUUCUCACGCAUGCUGCUUUGAUGAGCACACUGCUGAGACCCCUAUGAAGCUCAACAUCCACUUUUGUGUCCACCUCCGCUCCUUGUAAAUCUGGAUGUGUAUCCGUUGUCUGGUGGCGGGUUGCUAUGUGUGUUGUCUUGAUCCCACAUCCCGUGUUCCCUUGCUGGUCGACACCGUAACCGCACGCUCAAGCACCACCAAUGGCGAGCAAGAGCUUGGACAAUUGGCGCAUACCUGGAUUUUAUACACGGGACGCGCCCGAGAACACGGCGCUACCUAUCGUCAAGGCCAAGGGCGCACCGUAGGAGAACGUGGGAUGCUUAAUCAAGUGCGUGACACAAAACCGCAAACAAGACAAGGACAUCAAGCCGGAUCAACGGGGAACAAAGAAUGCACGGGAACAUGGGAUGUUGGAUAAAGUCCAUCUGCUGCCACUAUCCUAGUCUCUCCACCUCUCUUGCCUUGUUUAUCAGCUAUUUUCAGUAGUGGCAUCAUCGCCUUGAGUCACUUGUGUGGCUCUCAUCUCUAUCCACCAAUAUAAUAAUCAGCAUGCUCAUCUACUAAACCUAGAUUCGCAUAAUCCACCGUCCAUCUUUUACUAGCUCGUCAAAAUCAUAAUCACCUAACUAAAUCCAACCAAAACCUUGUAAUCCACCGUAAAAUUAGGUUAAAAGAUCACAAUCACCGAACUAAAUCCAAAUUGUUCCAAACUAAACCAAAUAUAUGCUUAUCCAUCAAUAUAACAAUCAUCAUGCUCAUUUAUUAGACCUAAAAUCUCAUAGUCCACCAAACAUAUUUGAUUAUCUUCAUAGGACACAAUCACCAUUCUCAUCUACUAAAC